AUGGAUGGAAGUACAAUUGGGAAUGUUUUAUAAUGAUCUUGGAGACAAAUGGCCCCGUGGAGGCACGACUGUUGAAAGGGGGUAAAAAAUUUAUGCUGUUGAAAGGGGAUAAAAAAAUUAUGUCUCACCUCGUUAUUGAAGGAAUUGAGUUUCGAGCUGCUACAAAUGCAGAGAAAUAGCUUGGUGCAAAAGAAAAUGUGAGAAACCGAAGAAAUGGGAUCUUUUCAAAAUUAAGGAUUUAUGGAUAAUAUAGAAAUAAAUUUUCUGGCCCCCUCUGUUUUGCUUUCCUUUUCUCUUCUUUGAAAUGCAUGUGGAAUGACUGAGAAAAAUGUGGAGUUGCAGCAAAGAAACAAGUGAAAAUUUUUCAGCAAACUGUUAUGUAAAUAUUAUAGGGUUCGAGUUUAAAAUUAAUUGGUGACUUGAUAUUCGAGACAAUAUAGAUACACAAAUGUUGUCCCGAUGAAAUGGAAUAGGGAAUAAACAACAUGACGAUCACAAGUCCAUUGAUUUCAUGAAGACUGAUAAAGGAUCAAGGUUGUACAAUGAAUUUCACAUUGCACAAAAUUUCAUUCAUAAAAAGCAAACUCUCUCUAUACUUGUGCUUCUAAUAAGCACUCAAAACCUAAUUUCCCAAUUCAAUUUCCAUCUUCAUGCUACUGAUCUUCAACAUGUCCCCAAAGACUUCUCUUGCUGCUUAUCUUGUAUCUAAUCAGUAAAUGUGAUUAUCAGAUUAGUUAGUCAUGCAACAAAUGGUGAUGCCAAGAAGCGACCAAGUUCAAGCUGACGCUUAUUUUAUAAAUGCGGAAAAAAAAAAGGAAUGUUUUAUAAUGAUCUUGGAGACAAAUGGCCCCGUGGAGGCACGACUGUUGAAAGGGGGUAAAAAAUUUAUGCUGUUGAAAGGGGAUAAAAAAAUUAUGUCUCACCUCGUUAUUGAAGGAAUUGAGUUUCGAGCUGCUACAAAUGCAGAGAAAUAGCUUGGUGCAAAAGAAAAUGUGAGAAACCGAAGAAAUGGGAUCUUUUCAAAAUUAAGGAUUUAUGGAUAAUAUAGAAAUAAAUUUUCUGGCCCCCUCUGUUUUGCUUUCCUUUUCUCUUCUUUGAAAUGCAUGUGGAAUGACUGAGAAAAAUGUAGAGUUGCAGCACAGAAACAAGUGAAGAUUUUUGAGCAAACUGUUAUGUAAAUAUUAUAGGGUUCGAGUUUAAAAUUAAUUGGUGACUUGAUAUUCAAGACAAUAUAGAUACACAAAUGUUGUCCCG
This 1254-nucleotide long non-coding RNA is filed under the name Olea europaea (common olive). Its description in RNAcentral is "long non-coding RNA (OEUR_LNC008208)". The record is from RNAcentral. Lineage: Eukaryota; Viridiplantae; Streptophyta; Magnoliopsida; Lamiales; Oleaceae.